RNAcentral lists this ribosomal RNA (449 nucleotides) under uncultured bacterium. RNAcentral's name for it is "bacterial SSU rRNA". It matches the Rfam family "Bacterial small subunit ribosomal RNA", at positions 329 to 795 of the family's 1533-position model. The record is from RNAcentral.
GCCCAGACUCCUACGGGAGGCAGCAGUGGGGGAUAUUGCACAAUGGGGGGAACCCUGAUGCAGCGACGCCGCGUGGGUGAAGAAGUAUUUCGGUAUGUAAAGCUCUAUCAGCAGGGAAGAAAAUGACGGUACCUGACUAAGAAGCCCCGGCUAACUACGUGCCAGCAGCCGCGGUAAUACGUAGGGGGCAAGCGUUAUCCGGAUUUACUGGGUGUAAAGGGAGCGUAGACGGCAUGGCAAGUCAGAUGUGAAAGCCCGGGGCUCAACCCCGGGACUGCAUUUGAAACUGUCAGGCUGGAGUGCAGGAGAGGUAAGUGGAAUUCCUAGUGUAGCGGUGAAAUGCGUAGAUAUUAGGAGGAACACCAGUGGCGAAGGCGGCGUACUGGACUGUAACUGACGUUGAGGCUCGAAAGCGUGGGGAGCAAACAGGAUUAGAUACCCCAGUAACC